UACGUAGGGAGCAAGCGUUGUUCGGAUUUACUGGGCGUAAAGGGCGCGUAGGCGGCAAAUUAAGUCAGCUGUGAAAUCUCCGAGCUUAACUCGGAACGGUCAGCUGAUACUGAUCUGCUAGAGUGCGGAAGGGGCAAUCGGAAUUCUUGGUGUAGCGGUGAAAUGCGUAGAUAUCAAGAGGAACACCUGAGGUGAAGACGGGUUGCUGGGCCGACACUGACGCUGAGUGCGCGAAGGCUAGGGGAGCGAACGGG
RNAcentral lists this ribosomal RNA (254 nucleotides) under uncultured bacterium. RNAcentral's name for it is "partial 16S ribosomal RNA". It matches the Rfam family "Bacterial small subunit ribosomal RNA", at positions 524 to 776 of the family's 1533-position model. The record is from RNAcentral.